ACUCUACAACGAAAGUAAAAUGAAAGUUGAAUCCGAGCUCCGUGAAAUUGAUCAUUUUGCCACAACCACAGCCGGAUGACCAAACCUUACAUCAGUUUAACGGUCCAUUUCAAACUUCAAACUCAACACCCGAUAUCUGCAGACGCCCUUCUUCCCUGGGGAGCAUACUGGGGAUAAUAUAGCACAUGAGAUGAGAGGUGCAUUAGCAGACUGGGUUUUGAAGGAGGACCAAAAGGUUUGCGUGAUCACCGAUAACGCAUCAAACAUGAUAAAGGCUUUGGAGGUGAAUGGCUGGACGCGGCUUCAGUGCUUUGGACACAGGCUUUACUUUCAGAAAAUACUGUGAAAGCUGGCAACUGGAUCAGCCAUGCAACAGUGUCUGCAAAAAGUUGGUGUGCCACUUCUCACACAGCUGGAAAAAAAGAGUGGCACUUGAGCAAGCCCAGAAGCGCCUCAAUUGUUAAAGCAGAGCUGCAAUAAAAUGUUUGAUUUCUUCUUAUUUAUUGGUGAAUUUAUGUUAAUGUUGAUGACUGACAGAGUUCUCAUCAUUAAAACUGCUGUUUCCACA
This is a long non-coding RNA of Notolabrus celidotus (New Zealand spotty), 568 nucleotides long. RefSeq lists it as uncharacterized. The transcript has 2 exons. The record is from RefSeq and is a predicted model, not a curated record. Lineage: Eukaryota; Metazoa; Chordata; Actinopteri; Labriformes; Labridae.